GACGAACGCUGGCGGCGUGCUUAACACAUGCAAGUCGAACGGAAAGGCCCUGCUUUUGUGGGGUGCUCGAGUGGCGAACGGGUGAGUAACACGUGAGUAACCUGCCCUUGACUUUGGGAUAACUUCAGGAAACUGGGGCUAAUACCGGAUAGGAGCUCCUGCUGCAUGGUGGGGGUUGGAAAGUUUCGGCGGUUGGGGAUGGACUCGCGGCUUAUCAGCUUGUUGGUGGGGUAAUGGCUUACCAAGGCUUUGACGGGUAGCCGGCCUGAGAGGGUGACCGGCCACAUUGGGACUGAGAUACGGCCCAGACUCCUACGGGAGGCAGCAGUGGGGAAUAGUGCACAAUGGGCGGAAGCCUGAUGCAGCAACGCCGCGUGCGGGAUGACGGCCUUCGGGUUGUAAACCGCUUUCGCCUGUGACGAAGCGUGAGUGACGGUAAUGGGUAAAGAAGCACCGGCUAACUACGU
This 467-nucleotide ribosomal RNA is filed under the name uncultured bacterium. Its description in RNAcentral is "partial 16S ribosomal RNA". It matches the Rfam family "Bacterial small subunit ribosomal RNA", at positions 28 to 506 of the family's 1533-position model. The record is from RNAcentral.